UGGGGAAUAUUGGACAAUGGGGGCAACCCUGAUCCAGCCAUGCCGCGUGCGUGAAGAAGGCCUUAGGGUUGUAAAGCGCUUUCACCCGUGACGAUGAUGACGGUAGCGGGAGAAGAAGCCCCGGCUAACUCCGUGCCAGCAGCCGCGGUAAUACGGAGGGGGCAAGCGUUGUUCGGAAUUACUGGGCGUAAAGGGCGCGUAGGCGGUUCGAUCAGUCAGGCGUGAAAGCCCCGGGCUCAACCUGGGAUGUGCGUUUGAUACUGUCGGUCUAGAGGAUGGAAGAGGAGAGUGGAAUUCCCAGUGUAGAGGUGAAAUUCGUAGAUAUUGGGAAGAACACCAGUGGCGAAGGCGGCUCUCUGGUCCAUGUCUGACGCUGAGGCGCGAAAGCGUGGGGAGCAAACAGGAUUAGAUACCCCCGUAGUCC
Molecule: ribosomal RNA, 424 nt
Filed under: uncultured prokaryote
Description: partial 16S ribosomal RNA
Rfam family: Bacterial small subunit ribosomal RNA
Source: RNAcentral